AUUGAACGCUGGCGGCAGGCCUAACACAUGCAAGUCGAGCGGUAGCACAGAGAGCUUGCUCUCGGGUGACGAGCGGCGGACGGGUGAGUAAUGUCUGGGAAACUGCCUGAUGGAGGGGGAUAACUACUGGAAACGGUAGCUAAUACCGCAUAACGUCGCAAGACCAAAGAGGGGGAACUUCGGGCCUCUUGCCAUCAGAUGUGCCCAGAUGGGAUUAGCUAGUAGGUGGGGUAACGGCUCACCUAGGCGACGAUCCCUAGCUGGUCUGAGAGGAUGACCAGCCACACUGGACCUGAGACACGGUCCAGACUCCUACGGGAGGCAGCGUUGGGGAAUAUUGCACAAUGGGCGCAAGCCUGAUGCAGCCAUGCCGCGUGUAUGAAGAAGGCCUUCGGGUUGUAAAGUACUUUCAGCGGGGAGGAAGGCGAUAAGGUUAAUAACCUUGUCGAUUGACGUUACCCGCAGAAGAAGCACCGGCUAACUCCGUGCCAGCCGCCGCCGUAA
Molecule: ribosomal RNA, 504 nt
Filed under: uncultured bacterium
Lineage: Bacteria
Description: partial 16S ribosomal RNA
Rfam family: Bacterial small subunit ribosomal RNA
Source: RNAcentral